RNAcentral lists this long non-coding RNA (510 nucleotides) under Coturnix japonica (Japanese quail). Its description in RNAcentral is "lncRNA (ENSCJPG00005007282.1)". The record is from RNAcentral. Lineage: Eukaryota; Metazoa; Chordata; Aves; Galliformes; Phasianidae.
AUUUAUGUGAUCAUUAAUAUUUGAAUUUUGAAUAAUGCAUACUUAUAUAUUUCCACAGAAGGAUGCAGUGUGCGUCGUACACCGAAGUCAUACUGCAACAGGAGCAGAAGCGGCUGUGUUUGCAUUGCCCGCUCACAGGGAAAAAUCACAAACACAACCAGACAGCACCCUCUUCUGGACAAUACCAUUUAUGCAAAACUCGUACGUAAGAUACUGCGGAAAGUAGAGCAGUGCUGGUCCUAAAGGAGAAAGGGAGAGAAGGCGAGAUUCAGUAAUUCAUGCUUUGCAUUCAGUUUUCCAAGGAAAAUACAGGGGAAUAUUACUAUGCUUUUAUUCUUCUGAAUGUUUUAUAUUGAAACGUGAGGACUGGUCAGACGCAGUGUCAGCUUAUUUCAAAAGCAGAUCCCAGUUAUGAAAGAUUCCUUUUUGUCACAGCUUUACCAUUACUGCAAGACCCUUCGGAGGGGUCAUGCCCCAGAUCUGGGUUAAUAAAGUUUAUUCAGAUGCCCA